Molecule: long non-coding RNA, 1945 nt
Organism: Leptopilina boulardi
Lineage: Eukaryota; Metazoa; Arthropoda; Insecta; Hymenoptera; Figitidae
Exons: 5
Source: RefSeq, a predicted model, not a curated record
CGACAGCAGGCAGAGAAACCGCAGGAACGAAUCUUUUUUGUUAAGCACCCGGGAAUUGAUUUAUCUUGGUAAAAGAAUGUUGCAGAUUUUCAACCAUUUUUAAAAGAAAAAUUUCAACAAAAUUAAUAUCAAAAGUGAAAUAUAUGGAGAAAAGAACAAAAUUUGUCUGAUUCUAUACAAUUUGAGAAAAGGAUUAAAUUUUGUUCUUCAAAGCAAUCAGCAGCAGACAUAAUAAAUAAUCGCUCAAGAGGAGAUGGCAAAAAUAUUUUAUAUCAUCAGUUGACAAAGUAAGCUGUGGAAAAUACUACAAAUUCAUAAAAAAAAACAUAUGGCCGCUUAUAUUUCUUAAAAGAAUUGAUCAUCUAUUAAAUUUAGAAGAAGAAAAAAAAAAGUUACCAACAACUGAUGAUGAACUAACAAAAUCAAAAGAAAAUGAUGAAAAUCUAAAAUUCUAUUCAUGUCGUUAUUGUAAAAAUAAUUUUGGAACAAUAUCUGGAAAAACACGACAUGAAAAUAAAUGUCAACAGAAUCCAAUAACUAAUAAAGAAAAAAUAAAUUCAUUAUUUACUUGUGACAAUUGUAAUUAUAAUUUUAAUUGUCUAGGCUUUCUGAAAAGACAUAAAAUCUAUGAUUGUGGAAUUAUACACAAAUGUGAAAUAUGUAAUCAAAUUUAUUCAACACGAAAUAUUUUAAUGCAACAUAUUAAAAGAGUACAUGAUUAAAAAGUGAUAAUUUAAAAAAAAAAUUUUUUAAAUAUGAUUUUCAAUACUUUUUGAAGGUCAAUUCUAAAAAGUACAAAAGAAUCGAGUUGAAAAUCAUAAUUCAUAUUUUAUACAAUACAUAUAUAUCAACACACUGUGCCAUAAAGAAGUGAUAUUUUUUUUUAACAAAAAAAAAGUAAAUCAUUUCAAAUAAAAAGAAAACAUCCACGAUUGUUUGUUAAAAAUGCUGAGUAUCUAAUUGCAUCACAAAAAAUUCCAAUAAGAACAAAAAAAAAUUUUACAUGUCGUUUUUGUAAAAUAAAUUUUGGACGUCUAAAUGGAAAAACGCAUCAUGAAAAAAUAUGCACACGAAAUCCAACGAGUAUUCAACCGAAAGAACUUUUUUCAUUCAGUUGUAACGAUUGUGGUUGUAGUUUUAAACAACAAUGGCAAUUAAAAAGUCAUAUAGCAAAUGAUUGUGGUGUGUCGCAUACAUGUCAUAUAUGUAACAAAAGUUAUUCAAGAAUACAAAAUUUACGGGCACAUUUUCGUAAAGGACUUUGUAAAAAAUAGUCCUUAAUCAAUUUCAUUUACUUUUUGUUCCCUUACAAAUUAGAGUUAAUUUUUUAGAAACUAUAGUUUUUUUCGAGAAAGAAAUAUAUUUUUAAUUUUAACUAGAAUUUCUAUUUAUUGACAUCAAAUAUAUACUUGAAGUGAUGAUAAAAUUAUUAUUUUUUAAAGACAAAAGACUUUUAAUGAUAAUGUAAUUUCGGCUGUCAAAAUAAAAUGCGAAACUAACCUCAAUUAUUGAUCCAGAAACGUAACAUUAAGGGGUACCGAAAUAUUUAUCUUCUAAUAAUAUGUAUUAAUAAUUGAAUAAUUUACGUUAUCUUUAUCGUUUUUUUUAAAUUAUAUAUAAAUAAAUAUAUAGACUGUAAAAAAUUGUCACGUUUAUUAAUUAUUUUAAGGAAAUUUAAAGCAGGCACGAGCGAAACUUUUUUUGCUUCGCACCUGUUGUAUAAAUAAAAUUUCUGAUGAUGGCAAUUGGUUGUGACAUACGAAAUUUGUACAAAAUUCAUUCCUAGUUAAUUUAAAUAAAAGAAAAUAAAAAAAAUGUUUGUCAAUAAGCAUUGUCGUGUCUACCUUUAAGUUUUUAUGAUUUUUAUUUUUAUUUUUAAAACGUCAAAUUUUUUAUUUGACCAAAAAUGUAAAUGUUCAAAUAAAGAUCUUAACCUACAAAAAUA